AUAUUGUCACCCUAAUAGCACCAACACCAACCACUCUACAUGGGUGAUCAUCUCCAAGACUCACACUACCACCAUCUGAUUUCUCAUAACAGGCAAACCAAUCACGAUGUGCAGUGUAGUGGUGGGAAUAUGUUGCAUCAAGUGUCCAAUGGCCAUCAAACUCUACUACCUCAUCUGAUACUACCAAUACAUCAUCUCCACU
Molecule: long non-coding RNA, 202 nt
Filed under: Elaeis guineensis (African oil palm)
Lineage: Eukaryota; Viridiplantae; Streptophyta; Magnoliopsida; Arecales; Arecaceae
Description: long non-coding RNA (EGUI_LNC018203)
Source: RNAcentral